GGUUGUGUAGUGUAGUGGUGAUCACUCCGGAUUUUGAAACUGAACGUCGUUUUCCGGCAACCCCGGUUCGAACCCGGGCACGACCU
Molecule: transfer RNA, 86 nt
Organism: Cyphellophora europaea CBS 101466
Lineage: Eukaryota; Fungi; Ascomycota; Eurotiomycetes; Chaetothyriales; Cyphellophoraceae
Rfam family: tRNA
About the family: Transfer RNA (tRNA) molecules are approximately 80 nucleotides in length.
Source: Rfam